UUUUUUUUUUUUUUUUUUUUUUGACGGAGCCUCGCUCUGUCGCCGAGGCUGGAGUGCAGUGGCACUAUCUCGGCUCACUGCAAGCUCCGCCUCCCGGGUUCACACCAUUCUCCUGCCUCAGCCUCCCGAGUAGAGUAGCUGGGACCACAGGCUCCCGCCACCACGCCUGGCUAAUUUUUUUGUAUUUUUAGUAGAGACGGGGUUUCACCGUGUUAGCCAAGAUGGACACCAUCUCCUGACCUCGUGAUCCGCCCGCCUCGGCCUCCCAAAGUGCUGGGAUUACCGGCGUGAGCCACUGCGCCCGGCCUCAAAAAGCAUUUUUAAUUUAAAUAAAUGCAGUAUGAGGGCAGUGAACUUGGAGGUAAUCAGCAAACAGGGCGUGGCCUUCGUGAUGUCCUUCGACUUAGUGGUAGCAAUUUUUAGAGAUGGCCCAAGCAAGGCUUAGAAGAAGGUAGGUGAGCCAAGGUGCAACACCCAGGAACCCAGAAGCCGGCUGGCCAGGCAGUGGAAAGGCGCAGGCGCAGGGGUGCGCGAUGCCUCCGUGGAGCGGAGCCGCCUGCACCUCCAGAGAGGCGCCACACGGGGGCAGCCUCGGAGGCCGACUCCGCGCCGCGCGCUAAGAGGAACCCAGCUGGUGCAGCAGGCGGGGAGUAAGCCGCAGAAAACCCGUGAAACACAGGUGCGUCGCCAGCUUCUUGGUGCAAAACCCAACACCUGGCUCACAAAACAGAAGGUAAUACCGCUUGGUUCCACUGGGGCUCGAACCCAGGACCUUCUGCGUGUAAAGCAGACGUGAUAACCACUACACUAUGGAACCUCACAAGAACCAACGGCUUCUCCAGGAUUUAAUAACUGUUCCAAAAGACGUUUUGGCACCGGGAAAUGGUUAUGUGGACUUGACAUCCGGCGAUUGUGCACAGAGAAAAACUUUCAAAAGGAUUCCUCAUUUUCCAGUGUUCAAAGGAAGACGACCGCGCAGAAACAUUGUAGAAAUGUCUGCGUCUCCAGCUUCCUGAAGCAAAACCCAAGAUUGGGCUCGCAAAAUGUUAAUACUAAGCAUUUUAGAGAAAGGAAAGAAAAGAAAAAAGAAAAAAAUUGGAGACCAUGUCGUGGUUCCACUGGGGCUCGAACCCAGGACCUUCUGCGUGUAAAGCAGACGUGAUAACCGCUACACUAUGGAACCGCGUGCAGGGUUUUGACGUCUGGAUUUAGUAAUUCUGCAUAAAGACAUGUUAGCAACAUGGACCGAAACGGAUUUACUGCUCAGCAAUCGUGAACAGAGAGACAAACUUACACAAGGAUUACAGAUUUUCCAGUGUAAUUCCUACCCACACUCUCCUUAGAGGCAAAGGUUUCACACUUACUCUUGGAAAGAAAGUGCCUCCC
RNAcentral lists this transfer RNA (1386 nucleotides) under Macaca fascicularis (crab-eating macaque). RNAcentral's name for it is "lncRNA (ENSMFAG00000050180.1)". The record is from RNAcentral. Lineage: Eukaryota; Metazoa; Chordata; Mammalia; Primates; Cercopithecidae.